This 868-nucleotide ribosomal RNA is filed under the name uncultured archaeon. RNAcentral's name for it is "bacterial SSU rRNA". It matches the Rfam family "Archaeal small subunit ribosomal RNA", at positions 1 to 878 of the family's 1478-position model. The record is from RNAcentral.
CUCCGGGUGAUCCUGCCGGACCCGACUGCUAUCAGAGUGGGACUAAGCCAUGCGAGUCAACGUAGCAAUACGUGGCAUACGGCUCAGUAACACGUAGUCAACAUGCCCAGGGGACGAGGAUAACCUCGGGAAACUGAGGAUAAACCUCGAUAGGCCAGGAUUUCUGGAAUGAUUCUUGGCUCAAACCUAUAUGGCCCCUGGAUUGGACUGCGGCCGAUCAGGCUGUUGGUGAGGUAAUGGCCCACCAAACCUAUUACCGGUACGGGCUCUGAGAGGAGGAGCCCGGAGAUGGGCACUGAGACAAGGGCCCAGGCCCUAUGGGGCGCAGCAGGCGCGAAACCUCUGCAAUAGGCGAAAGCUUGACAGGGUUACUCUGAGUGAUUUCCGCUAAGGGAAUCUUUUGGCACCUCUAAAAAUGGUGCAGAAUAAGGGGUGGGCAAGUCUGGUGUCAGCCGCCGCGGUAAUACCAGCACCCCGAGUGGUCGGGACGAUUAUUGGGCCUAAAGCACCCGUAGCCGGUUCUACAAGUCUUCCGUUAAAUCCACCUGCUUAACAGAUGGGCUGCGGAAGAUACUAUAGAGCUAGGAGGCGGGAGAGGCAAGCGGUACUCGAUGGGUAGGGGUAAAAUCCGUUGAUCCAUUGAAGACCACCAGUGGCGAAGGCGGCUUGCCAGAACGCGCUCGACGGUGAGGGAUGAAAGCUGGGGGAGCAAACCGGAUUAGAUACCCGGGUAGUCCCAGCUGUAAACGAUGCAGACUCGGUGAUGAGUUGGCUUCUUGCCAACUCAGUGCCGCAGGGAAGCCGUUAAGUUUGCCGCCUGGGGAGUACGGUCGCAAGACUGAAACUUAAAGGAAUUGGCGGGGGAGCA